This 394-nucleotide ribosomal RNA is filed under the name uncultured bacterium. RNAcentral describes it as "partial 16S ribosomal RNA". It matches the Rfam family "Bacterial small subunit ribosomal RNA", at positions 523 to 918 of the family's 1533-position model. The record is from RNAcentral.
AUACGUAGGGAGCGAGCGUUGUCCGGAAUUACUGGGCGUAAAGGGCGCGUAGGCGGCGCUUCAAGUCGUCUGUCAAAUGGGAGGGCUUAACCCUUUUUCGCAGACGAAACUGUGGCGCUAGAGAAGCAGAGAGGCAAACAGAAUUCCUGGUGUAGCGGUGAAAUGCGUAGAUAUCAGGAAGAAUACCAGUGGCGAAGGCGGUUUGCUGGCUGCAUACUGACGCUGAAGCGCGAAAGCCAGGGGAGCAAACGGGAUUAGAUACCCCGGUAGUCCUGGCAGUAAACGAUGUAUGCUGGGUGUGGGAGUAGCGAUACCUCCGUGCCGAAGUUAACGCGAUAAGCAUACCGCCUGGGGAGUACGGUCGCAAGAUUGAAACUCAAAUGAAUUGACGGGG